AGCAGCCGCGGUAAUUCCAGCUCCAAUAGCGUAUAUUAAAGUUGCUGCAGUUAAAAGCUCGUAGUUGAAUUUCGGGAUCAAUAUGUUGGUCGUGCCUCGGUACGUACUAGCUUAUUGGUUUCUCCCUUCUGACGAACCAUGAUGUCAUUUAUUUGGUGUUAUGGGAAAUCAGGACUGUUACUUUGAAAAAUUAGAGUGUUUAAAGCAGGCUCACGCUUGAAUACAUUAGCAUGGAAUAAUGAAAUAGGACGUUUGAUUCUAUUUUGUUGGUUUCUAGGAUCGACGUAAUGAUUAAUAGGGAUAGUUGGGGGCAUUAGUAUUCAAUUGUCAGAGGUGAAAUUCUUGGAUUUAUUGAAGACUAACUACUGCGAAAGCAUUUGCCAAGGAUGUUUUCAUUAAUCAAGAACGAAAGUUAGGGAUCGAAGACGAUCAGAUACCGUCGUAGUCUUAACCAUAAACUAUGCCGACUAGGGAUCGGAUGAUGUUAAUUUUUUAAUGACUCAUUCGGCGUCCG
Molecule: unclassified non-coding RNA, 514 nt
Filed under: uncultured Glomus
Lineage: Eukaryota; Fungi; Glomeromycota; Glomeromycetes; Glomerales; Glomeraceae
Description: SSU rRNA
Rfam family: Eukaryotic small subunit ribosomal RNA
Source: RNAcentral